This 353-nucleotide long non-coding RNA is filed under the name Pan troglodytes (chimpanzee). Its description in RNAcentral is "long non-coding RNA NONPTRT007790". Lineage: Eukaryota; Metazoa; Chordata; Mammalia; Primates; Hominidae. The record is from RNAcentral.
GGAACCGUAAUCUGCAUUUCUUAAAAGAUCUCUAAGAGGGAGGUGGGAAACAAAUGCCAGUGGGCAAGGGGGAAACAGGGAGACAAUUUCAGCAACCAUUUCAAUGCCCUAAGAAGGAGAUGGCGAGGAGUGAAUGAUCUUGGUGGCCUGGCAGGUGAAGAAGGAGGAGCUCACAUUGUUGACAAUUAACCCGAUCCAAGAGACCUGCAUAAAUCAAUCACUACAGGAAAAAAAAAAUUGUUCUUGAUCUACAGUGACAAAUGUGUAGACAAGAAAAAGAAACUUAGCCAUAAACAAGUUAGAGGGACUUGCCCAAGCUUACUCAGGCUAUGCAUGCGACAGCAGGAUUGGGA